GACGAACGCUGGCGGCGUGCCUAAUACAUGCAAGUAGAACGCUGAAGACUUUAGCUUGCUAAAGUUGGAAGAGUUGCGAACGGGUGAGUAACGCGUAGGUAACCUGCCUUUCGGUUCGGAAUAACGUCUGGAAACGGACGCUAACACCGGAUACGCCCUUUGGGGGAAAGUUCACGCCGAGAGAGGGGCCCGCGUCGGAUUAGGUAGUUGGUGUGGUAACGGCGCACCAAGCCGACGAUCCGUAGCUGGUCUGAGAGGAUGAUCAGCCACACUGGGACUGAGACACGGCCCAG
RNAcentral lists this ribosomal RNA (293 nucleotides) under uncultured bacterium. Its description in RNAcentral is "partial 16S ribosomal RNA". It matches the Rfam family "Bacterial small subunit ribosomal RNA", at positions 28 to 334 of the family's 1533-position model. The record is from RNAcentral.